UUGAGUGUUUUGGGUUUUUUAUGAGGUUUUGGGGUUGGGCUUGUUUUAAGAAAUCGAUAGCAAUGUUGUUAUUUAGAAGGAGUUAAAAGCCUCUUUGUUAUGUUGUAAAUGGAUUUUGGAUGUGUUUCUAAAGUCCAUUUCAUAUAAGUUUUUUAAUAAUUUAGACCCCGAUAUUGGGUAUAAUAGUGAAUCUUCCAUUUAAUUUUUGGUAUCAAAAUCCCAAGUGCAGAAUCAAAGUGGAAGCUAAUAUGUGCCACCACAUAUCAGUGGCGGACCUAUUAAGGCGCAAGGAGGUGAAGCUGCACCUACCCUCAUCGGAAAAACCAUUGUGGUUCUCAAUCUUCACCACGUGUCUGAUCGCGUUGCGCGUGAUCGGUUGAUGAGGCAUUGUUGAGUAGGCCGUCUACGUGACACAUCCUGAUUGACGAGGCAUUGCUGAGUAGGGCGUCCACGUGACACGUUAAUGCAUGUCAAGAAACAUUGAUACCCUCUUUGUUUUUUCAAUUGCUUACUCUAAAGGAGUCUAGACCGGUGAGAGGGCAAACCCUACUCAAAUAUUAAUAUUAAAAUAUUUAAACAACCCUACUCCAUGUAAUUAAGCUAGACUCUAAUUAUUUUGACUUUUCUUAAUUCCCCAUCUUGUGUACUAAAUUAAGGCAAUAUAUUGAGAUAAUUAGGCUCAUUAUUAUGGCGAU
Molecule: non-coding RNA, 695 nt
Organism: Prunus avium (sweet cherry)
Lineage: Eukaryota; Viridiplantae; Streptophyta; Magnoliopsida; Rosales; Rosaceae
Source: RefSeq, a predicted model, not a curated record